Molecule: long non-coding RNA, 1314 nt
Organism: Centropristis striata (black sea bass)
Lineage: Eukaryota; Metazoa; Chordata; Actinopteri; Perciformes; Serranidae
Exons: 5
Source: RefSeq, a predicted model, not a curated record
GAAGUUGUAAAUGUAGCAGGUUUGUCUUUGCAUUUAAUUUGCCAGAGAAGAUUAAUUGGUAGAGUUUGUGUACCCUCCUAAGCAGAGGGGGGCAGUAGUGCGUCUCAAAUGUUCAAAAUGAAUAGUAGAAGAAGAAAAAAGAGGAAGUGGUGGGAUCAUGCCAGAAAAAUGCACAGGUGUAUAAACUGGUGUAAUCAAAGAAGUUUGAAUGAACACAUGACACAUAAUCUAGGUAAGAAACACUUUUCCAUCUUCCAUUUCUCUUCAAACAUUUUCUUGCAUCUAAAGUUAAAAACACACAAUAACAAAACAGUUAAAGCAGAUUGAGAUGUGUUAACUCACCUGUAAACACACCUUGGUUUCUCUCAGUAGAUUAGAUGGUGAAACCUGAGCAAAACACAAACAAAUAAAGAAACAAGCUUCAGGCAAAGAGGUUGAUCACUGCUGUCUGCAGCUGCAUCACAUCACUUGACCAGAUAUUAGUCUGCUGUGACGUCGAAGCUUCCCAAAGUUUCACCACUCAGAUGCUGUUUGGGGAGAGAAACCUCAGUCACGUCAGCUCCGUGACAUCAAAGCGACCGUGACACCGCAGCAAACCGGCGAUGACGGAUGCCUUUUUGUCUUCUGCAGUCAGGCCGGAUCGUCUGGCCCGCAGACGACUGUAAUUGCACCGACAGGUGACACAUAUGUGGAAACCAGAAGAUGAUGUGGGAGACUACUUAAAUCAUGUGACCUGCACCUCACAUGCCUCCUCCGAGUACAGUGUCAGAAGUUGAGAGGAAUAUUCUGACACAUGAGAAAGAAAUCAGCACAUAAACGGGACUCGAGUCAAGGCAGGUUUUCCAGGUUGGACCCUGGUGCUGUGUCCCAGUUCAUCCUCAGGUGUUGAACAGGUUUGAAGGUCACACCAAACUGGAAAAACACACAACCUUUACUUUGUGCAUGGGAGAAUUAUUAUUAUCACAGUAUGAGACUAUUGUCAUCUUAGAUUUUGUAUAUUAUAAUAUCAUAAGUGGUUUCAAAGGCUUGUUAUAAUAAAAUUAUUCUUUCUUUCUGUACUUAUCUUAGCUGCUCUAUUUGGCAUGGCACUUAGUCAUUAUAUCCACAUUACUGGCGAUUAUUUAUCAGAAAUAAAUAAAUUCAUUAUCAAUAUUGACAUAUUUGGUCCAAAAUAUCUCCAUCUCUAAUUUUCUCCAUUUUGCCCAGCCCUAGUUCUGUUCUGUUGAACAGGAAAGGGACAAAUGUCUAAAUAAAACUGUUAACAUGUUUAGCAAGGCUGUCCACAAACCGUUUUGUGAUUUAUUCAAUUUAAUG